RNAcentral lists this ribosomal RNA (1398 nucleotides) under Streptomyces sp. J3S25. Its description in RNAcentral is "bacterial SSU rRNA". It matches the Rfam family "Bacterial small subunit ribosomal RNA". The record is from RNAcentral. Lineage: Bacteria; Bacillati; Actinomycetota; Actinomycetes; Kitasatosporales; Streptomycetaceae.
CUCAGGAAUGAACGCUGGGGCGUGCUUACACAUGCAAGUCGAACGAUGAAGCCCUUCGGGGUGGAUUAGUGGCGAACGGGUGAGUAACACGUGGGCAAUCUGCCCUGCACUCUGGGACAAGCCCUGGAAACGGGGUCUAAUACCGGAUAUGACCGUCCAUCGCAUGGUGGAUGGUGUAAAGCUCCGGUGGUGCAGGAUGAGCCCGCGGCCUAUCAGCUAGUUGGUGAGGUAGUGGCUCACCAAGCGACGACGGCUAGCCGGCCUGAAAGGGCGACCGGCCACACUGGGACUGAGACACGGCCCAGACUCCUACGGGAGGCAGCAGUGGGGAAUAUUGCACUAUGGGCGAUAGCCUGAUGCAGCGACACCGCGUGAGGGAUGACGGCCUUCGGGUUGUAAACCUCUUUCAGCAGGGAAGAAGCGAAAGUGACGGUACCGCAGAGAAGCGCCGGCUAACUACGUGCCAGCAGCCGCGGUAAUACGUAGGGCGCAAGCGUUGUCCGGAAUUAUUGGGCGUAAAGAGCUCGUAGGCGGCUUGUCACGUCGGUUGUGAAAGCCCGGGCUUAACCCCGGGUCUGCAGUCGAUACGGGCAGGCUAGAGUUCGGUAGGGGAGAUCGGAAUUCCUGGUGUAGCGGUGAAAUGCGCAGAUAUCAGGAGGAACACCGGUGGCGAAGGCGGAUCUCUAGACCGAUACUGACGCUGAGGAGCGAAAGCGUUGGGAGCGAACAGGAUUAGAUACCCUGGUAGUCCACGCCGUAAACGGUGGGCACUAGGUGUGGGCAACAAUCAACGUUAUCCGUACCACAGUAACACAUUAAGUGCGCCGCCUGGGGAGUACGACCGCAAGGCAUAUACUCAAAGGAAUUGACGGGGACCCGCACAAGCGGCGGAGCAUGUGGCUUAAUUCGAUCAACACGAAGAACCUUACCAAGGCUUGACAUACACCGGAAAACAUCAGAGAUGGUGCCCCCUUGUGGUCGGUGUACAGGUGGUGCAUGGCUGUCGUCAGCUCGUGUCGUGAGAUGUUGGGUUAAUACCCACAAAGGAGCACAACCUUUGUGCAGUUUGCAAACAGCCCCUUGUGGUGCUGGGGACUCACGGGAGACCUCCGGGGUCACUCGGAGGAGGUGGGGACGACAUCGAGUCAUCAUGCCCCUAUGUCUUGGGCUGAACACGUGCUACAAUGACCGGUACAAUGAGCUGCGAUACCGUGAGGUGGAGCGAAUUCAAAAAGCCGGUCUCAGUUCGGAUUGGGGUCUGCAACUCGACCCCAUGAGUCGGAGUCGCUAGUAAUCGCAGAUCAACAUUGCUGCGGUGAAUACGUUCCCGGGCCUUGUACACACCGCCCGUCACGUCACGAAAGUCGGUACACCCGAAACCGGUGGCCCAACCCCCUU